RNAcentral lists this ribosomal RNA (478 nucleotides) under uncultured bacterium. Its description in RNAcentral is "partial 16S ribosomal RNA". It matches the Rfam family "Bacterial small subunit ribosomal RNA", at positions 28 to 523 of the family's 1533-position model. The record is from RNAcentral.
GACGAACGCUGGCGGCGUGCUUAACACAUGCAAGUCGAACGGUAAGGCCCUUCGGGGUACACGAGUGGCGAACGGGUGAGUAACACGUGGGUGAUCUGCCCUGCACUUCGGGAUAAGCCUGGGAAACUGGGUCUAAUACCGGAUAGGACUCCGGACUGCAUGGUCUGGGGUGGAAAGCUUUUGCGGUGUGGGAUGGGCCCGCGGCCUAUCAGCUUGUUGGUGGGGUGAUGGCCUACCAAGGCGACGACGGGUAGCCGGCCUGAGAGGGUGACCGGCCACACUGGGACUGAGAUACGGCCCAGACUCCUACGGGAGGCAGCAGUGGGGAAUAUUGCACAAUGGGCGCAAGCCUGAUGCAGCGAUGCCGCGUGAGGGAUGACGGCCUUCGGGUUGUAAACCUCUUUCAGUAGGGACGAAGCGCAAGUGACGGUAGGUGCAGAAGAAGGACCGGCCAACUACGUGCCAGCCGCCGCCGUAA